Molecule: ribosomal RNA, 730 nt
Filed under: Bacillus sp. (in: firmicutes)
Lineage: Bacteria; Bacillati; Bacillota; Bacilli; Caryophanales; Bacillaceae
Description: bacterial SSU rRNA
Rfam family: Bacterial small subunit ribosomal RNA
Source: RNAcentral
UACAAGCUUGCUUCUAUGACGUUAGCGGCGGACGGGUGAGUAACACGUGGGCAACCUGCCUGUAAGACUGGGAUAACUUCGGGAAACCGAAGCUAAUACCGGAUAGGAUCUUCUCCUUCAUGGGAGAUGAUUGAAAGAUGGUUUCGGCUAUCACUUACAGAUGGGCCCGCGGUGCAUUAGCUAGUUGGUGAGGUAACGGCUCACCAAGGCAACGAUGCAUAGCCGACCUGAGAGGGUGAUCGGCCACACUGGGACUGAGACACGGCCCAGACUCCUACGGGAGGCAGCAGUAGGGAAUCUUCCGCAAUGGACGAAAGUCUGACGGAGCAACGCCGCGUGAGUGAUGAAGGCUUUCGGGUCGUAAAACUCUGUUGUUAGGGAAGAACAAGUACGAGAGUAACUGCUCGUACCUUGACGGUACCUAACCAGAAAGCCACGGCUAACUACGUGCCAGCAGCCGCGGUAAUACGUAGGUGGCAAGCGUUAUCCGGAAUUAUUGGGCGUAAAGCGCGCGCAGGCGGUUUCUUAAGUCUGAUGUGAAAGCCCACGGCUCAACCGUGGAGGGUCAUUGGAAACUGGGGAACUUGAGUGCAGAAGAGAAAAGCGGAAUUCCACGUGUAGCGGUGAAAUGCGUAGAGAUGUGGAGGAACACCAGUGGCGAAGGCGGCUUUUUGGUCUGUAACUGACGCUGAGGCGCGAAAGCGUGGGGAGCAAACAGGAUUAGAUACCC